UCUCCCGUCGCGCGUGGCUGCCAAACCCUAGCCAAUCCUCUCCCUGCAGCCUGCCUCGCGAUUUCUUCCUCCCCUGCUCGCCCCCCGCGCGGCCACCACACCAUGAGCUCGGCCCGGCGCCGCCGAUGGAGCGACGAGGCGCGGGAGAGGCGCCGCUGCUGGAGCGCAGCGCGCGGGAGCGGCGCGUCGGUCGAGGCGUAGGAGAGGCACCGGUGAUGGAGCGCAGCGCCGCGGGAGCAGCGCGCCGGUGGAGCGACGACGUCGAGCGAGCUGAGUAGUGAGCGGGAGCGGCACCGCCCGUGGACACAGCAGCCUAUUGCUGCAGCCAAUCAGUAGGGAGAGGCAAAGGGAAGCAUCCCUCCAUGGAUGAGGAGGCGGAGCUUGAUGUGGAUCACCGGGGGCAGCGCCGCGCCGCCGCCAGGGAUGGGAGGAAGGGGAGGAGGCAGAGAACAAGGAGACAUCGAGAAGAGGGGUGUUUUGAUCUCCUUAUUCCUCCAAUGGAUGGGGAACAAGCAGUAUGAUUGCCUCAAUUUCGAGUCAGCUCAGCCGCCAUGAAGGAGGAGGAUGUGCUCCACCUCAUCUCCAUCCUCACGGCUUUGCCACCGGAUUGGUGCCGAUCUCCGUGUCCCCUGCAAGGGGAUCCCAACCUUUCCAUCUCUCCUAUCAAUUUCUCGGUUUCUCUCUAGCAGAUUGCUGCUAUAUGGAAGUUGCUUGAGAUUCCGUGUCACGGUUUGAUUGUCCAUCCUGGCUUUUAUAGUGUCAUGCGGAGAAGGAGUGGUGAAGAGAGGCUUCACGGAAGACAUCUAUUGCCUUGAAGAGCAACACCCAACCUUCUGCAACAAGGUGAGCAAAGAUUCAUAGAAAUUGUUCCAUGCCUCAAGUUUGGUUAACAAGAAGAACUUGCUCGCUCAUUUGGUUAAAUACCUGAAUAUUUAUUCCUUAACAUGUCUUCUGUUGUUUAGCAGAAAGAAAAGAAACAAUUCUUCCAGUGAUUAAUCUGUAGAGAAAGUUGUCUCUGAAAUUUUUAUCUGGAAAUGGAUACUUUGGAUACAGAUGAUUUAUGCUUGAAUUGGCACGUGGUCUUCUUUUAGCCUCCAAAUUAUUUAGGAUUCGUACAUUAAGAUGUACAUUAAGAUCU
Molecule: long non-coding RNA, 1138 nt
Organism: Lolium perenne
Lineage: Eukaryota; Viridiplantae; Streptophyta; Magnoliopsida; Poales; Poaceae
Source: RefSeq, a predicted model, not a curated record